ACGCUAGCGAGAUGCUUUACACAUGCAAGUCGUACGGGAGUUUUUAACUCUAGUGGCGGACGGGUGAGUAACACGUAAGAAUUUGCCUUUAGGAGGGGGAUAACAUCGUCAGAAAUGAUUCGAGAAAUUGAUGCUAAUACCCCAUAUGCUUUCGAGUGAAAUGGAGUUUUCCGCCUAAAGAGAAGCUUGCGGCUGAUUAGCUUGUUGGUGAGGUAAUGGCUUACCAAGGCGACGAUCAGUAUCUGGUUUGAGAGGAUGAUCAGACACACUGGAACUGAGACACGGUCCAGACUCCUACGGGAGGCAGCAGUGGGGAAUUUUCCGCAAUGGGCGAAAGCCUGACGGAGCAAUCUCGCGUGAGGGAUGACUGCCUAUGGGUUGUAAACCUCUUUUUUCAGGGAGGAAUAAAUGACGUUACCUGAAGAAUAAGCAUCGGCUAA
Molecule: ribosomal RNA, 440 nt
Filed under: uncultured bacterium
Lineage: Bacteria
Description: bacterial SSU rRNA
Rfam family: Bacterial small subunit ribosomal RNA
Source: RNAcentral